AACGAACGCUGGCGGCAUGCCUAACACAUGCAAGUCGAACGAGACCUUCGGGUCUCGUGGCGCACGGGUGCGUAACGCGUGGGAACCUGCCCUUAGGUUCGGAAUAACUCCCCGAAAGGGGUGCUAAUCCCGGAUAAUGUCUUCGGACCAAAGAUUUAUCGCCUUUGGAUGGGCCCGCGUUGGAUUAGCUAGUUGGUAGGGUAAAAGCCUACCAAGGCGACGAUCCAUAGCUGGUCUGAGAGGAUGAUCAGCCACACUGGGACUGCGACACGGCCCAGACUCCUGCGGGAGGCAGCAGUGGGGAAUAUUGGACAAUGGGCGAAAGCCUGAUCCAGCAAUGCCGCGUGAGUGAUGAAGGCCUUAGGGUUGUAAAGCUCUUUUACCCGGGAUGAUAAUGACAGUACCGGGAGAAUAGGCUCGGGCUAACUCCGUG
This 433-nucleotide ribosomal RNA is filed under the name uncultured bacterium. Its description in RNAcentral is "partial 16S ribosomal RNA". It matches the Rfam family "Bacterial small subunit ribosomal RNA", at positions 29 to 507 of the family's 1533-position model. The record is from RNAcentral.